This 468-nucleotide ribosomal RNA is filed under the name uncultured bacterium. RNAcentral's name for it is "partial 16S ribosomal RNA". It matches the Rfam family "Bacterial small subunit ribosomal RNA", at positions 28 to 507 of the family's 1533-position model. The record is from RNAcentral.
GACGAACGCUGGCGGCGUGCUUAACACAUGCAAGUCGAACGGAAAGGCCCUGCUUUUGUGUGUUGCUCGAUUGGCGAGCGGGUGAGUAACACGUGAGUAACCUGCCCUUGACUUUGGGAUAACUUCAGGAAACUGGGGCUAAUACCGGAUAGGAGCUCCUGCUGCAUGGUGGGGGUUGGAAAGUGUCGGCGUUUGGGGAUGGACUCGCGGCUUAUCAGCUUGUUUGUGGGGUAGUUGCUUACCAAGGCUUUGACGGGUAGCCUGCCUGAGAGGGUGACCGGCCACAUUGGGACUGAGAUACGGCCCAGAAUGCUACGGGAGGCAGCGGUGGGGAAUAUUGCACAAUGGGCGGAAGCCUGAUGCAGAAACGCCGCGUGCGGGAUGACGGCCUUCGGGUUAUAAACCGCUUUCGACUGUGACGAAGAGUGAGUGACGGUAAUGGGUAAAAAAGCAACGGCUAACUACGUG